GAUGAACGCUAGCGACAGGCCUAACACAUGCAAGUCGAGGGGCAGCGGGGCGAAGCUUGCUUUGCCUGCCGGCGACCGGCGCACGGGUGAGUAACACGUAUGGAACCUGCCCGCCACAGGGGGAUAACCGGUAGAAAUGCCGACUAAUACCCCGUAUGCCCACAGGGGCGCAUGCCCUGGUGGGGAAACAUUCAUGGGUGGCGGAUGGCCAUGCGGCGCAUUAGCUGGUUGGCGGGGUAACGGCCCACCAAGGCGACGAUGCGUAGGGGUUCUGAGAGGAAGGUCCCCCCACAUUGGUACUGAGACACGGUCCAAACUCCUACGGGAGGCAGCAGUGAGGAAUAUUGGUCAAUGGACGGGAGUCUGAACCAGCCAAGUAGCGUGCAGGAUGACGGCCCUAUGGGUUGUAAACUGCUUUUAUAGGGGGAUAAAGUGUGCCACGUGUGGCAUAUUGCAGGUACCCUAUGAAUAAGGACCGGCUAAUUCCGUGCCAGCAGCCGC
This 501-nucleotide ribosomal RNA is filed under the name uncultured bacterium. RNAcentral's name for it is "bacterial SSU rRNA". It matches the Rfam family "Bacterial small subunit ribosomal RNA", at positions 28 to 518 of the family's 1533-position model. The record is from RNAcentral.